This is a non-coding RNA of Sesamum indicum (sesame), 89 nucleotides long. Lineage: Eukaryota; Viridiplantae; Streptophyta; Magnoliopsida; Lamiales; Pedaliaceae. The record is from RefSeq and is a predicted model, not a curated record.
UACACGCAUCAUUCAAAUUUCUGCCCUAUCAACUUUCGAUGGUAGGAUAGUGGCCUACUAUGGUGGUGACGGGUGACGGAGAUUGGAGA